This 253-nucleotide ribosomal RNA is filed under the name uncultured bacterium. Its description in RNAcentral is "partial 16S ribosomal RNA". It matches the Rfam family "Bacterial small subunit ribosomal RNA", at positions 524 to 776 of the family's 1533-position model. The record is from RNAcentral.
UACGGGGGGGGCAAGCGUUGUUCGGAAUUACUGGGCGUAAAGGGCUCGUAGGCGGCCAACUAAGUCAUACGUGAAAUCCCCCGGCUUAACCGGGGAACUGCGUCUGAUACUGGAUGGCUUGAGUUCGGGAGAGGGAUGCGGAAUUCCAGGUGUAGCGGUGAAAUGCGUAGAUAUCUGGAGGAACACCGGUGGCGAAGGCGGCAUCCUGGACCGAUACUGACGCUGAAAACCGAAAGCUAGGGGAGCAAACGGG